This 224-nucleotide unclassified non-coding RNA is filed under the name rhizosphere metagenome. RNAcentral's name for it is "partial ribosomal RNA internal transcribed spacer region". The record is from RNAcentral.
GUAGGUGAACCUGCGGAAGGAUCAUUAGUGAAUAUUAGGGUGCUCUGUGGCUUUAACACGCUCAGAGGCCUGACCUCCACUUUCCACACUGUGCACCUUUCGGCGGAAUGGAAUCUUGAGCUUUGCUCUCGAGGAUGUUUUGCGGCUUCAUCAUAAAACACUAGUUUAAGAAUGUAAAAAAACCAUAACAAAAAAAACUUUCAACAACGGAUCUCUUGGCUCUC